This 460-nucleotide ribosomal RNA is filed under the name uncultured bacterium. Its description in RNAcentral is "partial 16S ribosomal RNA". It matches the Rfam family "Bacterial small subunit ribosomal RNA", at positions 338 to 795 of the family's 1533-position model. The record is from RNAcentral.
CCUAGGGGUGGCUGCAGUGAGGAAUAUUGGUCAAUGGGCGGAAGCCUGAACCAGCCAAGUCGCGUGAGGGAAUAAGGCCCUACGGGUCGUAAACCUCUUUUGCCGGGGAGCAAAGGCGGGGACGUGUCCCGGCCCGGCGAGUACCCGGAGAAAAAGCAUCGGCUAACUCCGUGCCAGCAGCCGCGGUAAUACGGAGGAUGCGAGCGUUAGCCGGAUUUAGUGGGUUUGCAGGGUGCGUAGGCGGGCUUUUAAGUCAGCGGUAAAAAUUCGGUGUUGAACGCCGUAGUGCCGUUGAAACUGGGGUUCUUGAGUGAGCGAGAGGUAUGCGGAAUGCGUGGUGUAGCGGUGAAAUGCAUAGAUAUCACGCAGAACCCCGAUUGCGAAGGCAGCAUACCGGCGCUCAACUGACGCUGAGGCACGAAAGUGCGGGUAUCGAACAGGAUUAGAUACCCGGGUAGUC